Molecule: long non-coding RNA, 4685 nt
Filed under: Vitis vinifera (wine grape)
Lineage: Eukaryota; Viridiplantae; Streptophyta; Magnoliopsida; Vitales; Vitaceae
Description: long non-coding RNA (VVIN_LNC006177)
Source: RNAcentral
UAUUUUAUAUAAAAAUUAGUACUUUUUAUUAUCAUGAAACCAAUCAUAUCAAGUAACAAUUUUAAUACUAUAUACAUAUAACUUCUUAUAGAUUUUUCCAGCAUUUCCUAAAAUUUUCAUUUCAUCAAGACUGGUGUUCACAAUUUUUGAUAUUUUUACAAAAUAUCCCACAUCAAAUAAUAAUAUAGGAUUCCAAACUUUCAAAUCAUAUGCUACAACCAUAUUCUCAUCCCACCAACUCUUUUAACUUAACUUUCUUUGUGAAAAUGAAAAAUCACUUAUUCAGCGAUCUCAUUGCCCAACUCUUUUUCUGUUAACAAGAGAAACAAAGUUUAUAAUACAAGCAAGAAUCAAGUCUAUAGUUUUACCUAAUGGAUUAAGGAGUCACCAUUUGAAAAUCAAGUUUUUAUUUGGUUCAUGGUUAGAUGCUAGAUCCCAAAAUGUUAAUACGCAAGAAGCCCUCAGAUCUCAUACACGGUAAGGCUCAUGGUUUUCAUUAAAGGCCAGUCCACACCUUCAAAAUAAUAAUAAUAAUAAUAAUAAUUGUCAUAACACAGAGGCUGAUGAAGAAGGAGGAGAAGGGGGAGGCUAUUAAUGAAAACCAUAUAACCACACAUGAGUUUUCCAUCAUUGGGCAUUUGCUCACCACAAUGAAAAAGAUAACCACAAUUUCGGAUAUCCACCUGUGAUUCACUAGUGAUAUAAUGAGUUCAUCAAUCUAUACCAAUUGACCUUUUUAAAUAAACCCAUUCGAUGAUUCGAUUUCUUGAAAGGCAACAAGCUGAGGCAAAAAGCUUCUUGCUUAGCAGAUUGUCUGAAGUUCCAACUUGCAUAUAAACUCAUGCUCUUCAAAAAAGCAAACAUAGAUCUUUCUCAAAAGGCAAUAUUAAAAAACAAAGAAGUAAAAAUUCAGUGGGAGUGGUAAUGGCAUAUGAAAAUUUAAAACCAUAACUUUCAUCACAUGCUAAAACUGGGUUGAUCUAAAAGGAAAUGUAAGAGAAGUGAAGGACAAAAAAAAGAAAGAACCAGACAAUAACAUCUAUUGAUAGCCCUCAGAUCUCAUAGCUAUUAUUAGUCAUCGUCAGUUAUAACAAACUGAUUCUUAUUAAGAGCCUCCACAUCUUCAACCACAGUAGAAAAGAGAGAUAGAGAGAGAGAGAGAGAGAGAAAGAGAGAGGUGGUGGUGGUGAGGCUGAUGGUGAGGAUGAGAGUAAAGGCUCCUAAUAAAAAUCAAUUUAAACCCUCCACAAAAUAAGUUUUCCAUCAUCGGGCAGAUGUUCAUAUUGAUAUUAUUGUCGACUGAAAAAUCAGGAUACACCUAUAAUAAGAGAGGACUGCAUGCAAGAAAACAGUUCAUUUAUAAAAAAUAAAAAUAAAAAAACAGAAAGAAAGAUAAAAGAUGAAAUAAGAAAACCAAUUCAUAAACAAACAAAAUGUGUAAUUAUACUAAAACAAUUUGAGCUUAAAGCAGAAGUACAACAGGAAAAAUACAACAGCAGCUUAAACCUAUAAUCAGUUUGGGUGGGUCAGAUGUGUUCAGCUAAAUAAUGUUUCAAUGAUUAAAUGAAAUAGGACCAUAUGAAAAAUUAUGCAGUAUCUGCCCACCAAUAACCAAAAGAAAUAAACAAGGGCAAAUCCCAAAUAAAUAAAUUUUCAAAUCUCAAACCAUCAAUCUAAAUUAAGCUAUAGAAGUAAUAAUGCCAAGAAGAACAUCAACAGAAUACUAGAAAAAUCCAAGGAAUAAAUAAUGGAUAGGAUUAAAUGGAUGCAAUAUCCUCAAGAAAUGGACACCUGUAAAUACCACAAAAGCAAAUAGCUUACAAUUGGUCUAUAUCUUGUCAUAGCUGAGCACAUCUAUAAGAUAUACACACCACCAAAAUAACUUUAUUCUACUACAUAAUGUUGUUUAAUCAUAACAUCAACUUAUUCAAAUAUGCAAAAGGCAGUUAGUACAGUUCACCUGCUGAUCUUCAAGACUUAAACCAACCAGCACUGUACCCAUAUGAGAUAAGAAACACUCCAUUCACAUAAGCUUCCAGCACUAGUACCAUAGAAAAAUAAUACACAGUGCUAACUUCAACAUCACCCCCAUAGGCAUCGAAAUCUCAGAAAAUAACAAGACAAAACCAUUGGAUAUAACAAUAGUCUCCAAAACAAGUCUCAACUGGGCGAGUAUCAGUGAGAACUUCAUUCCCAAGAUUAAGAGCCAUUCAAAAUACUAGAAAAGCUCAAACUUCAUAUGAGACAAAAUGGGUUUUUUUUUUUUUUUUGCAAAUCAAGUUUCCAUUCGAAAAACAUAGAUAUGAAGAGUACAUUUACAUGGUUCUCAUUAACCUAAAAAGAUUGUCAACAGUUCAAUGUCUUAGAUGCCAUAUUACAAUAUAUAAACAAGUAAAGCCCUCAGAUCUCAUAGCUACCAAUAUUCAUAGAAGGUAAAGCUUGUAAUUUUCAUUAGAAGCCAAUCCACAACUUGAUAAUAAUAAGAAUGCUAACAGCAGUAGUAAGAAGAAGAAGAAGAAGAAGAAGAAGAAGAAGAUGAUGAUGAUGAUGAUGAGGGAGGCUCCUAGUGAAAACCACAGCAACCACACCAAAUAUGAGAAUUCCAUCAUAGGGCAGAUGGCCAAGAUUCAAAAGCUUUGUCAUCCAUGGUUUAUAGAAUGAAAUAGUCCAGAUAAUAAGAACAUAAAAGAGAGCAUAAUCACAAAGGAAGGAAUGGUAAGAAGAGGUCAGAAGAGCCAAAGAAGAAACGAGCAUAAAGACUCCCGCAGAAACCAUAAACAAAGCUGCUUCGGAAAAACACAUUCAGAAUUACAAGGAAGCAGAUUUCACAAUCAAUAGUAAUUGUAACAGAAGUUCUCAUUUGUUUAAAAGACAAUAAUAACACACGUUGUGCAUUAUGGGAUCAAAGAAAAGAUCAAGAAGCAACCCAUGUUAAGGACUUGCCUGACUUUUAGGGGAAAAAAAAAGGUGAUCAUAGGUACAACAAAGCACUUAAAACAGUGUAGACAAACUUGAUAACGCAACUUGGCCCCUCAAAUUUGUUGAAAAAUGGUGAGACUGAGGUUCCGACUAGUGCGUUUUUUAAUGAACCACACUGACCUCUCAAAAGGCUAUCUUAAUUAUAUAAUUCUGUGAAUAAAAAGGUCAAAACAUGCACAUAGUUAAAUUGAUCUCAAAUAAUAGCAGGAUAACAAAAUAAAGCACCCAUCACGUGUGUGACCCAUAGGAUGAAAAUCCGUUGCACCAAGUAAUUUCACUAGUCUUAACUCAGGUCGUAAGGGUAUAUUUCCAAUCAUUCAAAAAGUCAGCAACUUAAUUCAUGUAAUUGAAACUCCACCAGUAACCUAAUGACACCAAAAUAACAAUGUGAUAGUUGUCUGAUAUUUAAACCAAUCGAAAUCCAUUCUGAGGCAGUAGCAAUGAUAGAAGAAAACAUUUCAAUAGUUAUACCUAAACCCGAUUCAAAAACCAAAACACUUGAUCAAAUGAAACAAAAAAGAAAGGACGCAAUGGAUAGAAAAUCGCAAAAAAAAAAAAAAAACAUAGACAAAAAUAUACUAAAAAAGCCCUCAGAUCUCAUAGCUAUCAUAAGUCAUUGUUAGUAAAACAAACCGGUUUUUAUUAAGAGCCUUUCCACAUCUUUAUCCAUACUAAAGAGAAUGUGAAAGAUUGAGGGAGGAAGAGGAGAGAUAGAGAGAGAGAGAGAGAGAGAGAGAAAGCGAGAGAGAGAGAGAGAGAAGACAGAUUAAGAAGAAUAUGGCGAGGAUGAUAGUCAAGGCUCCUAACAAAAACGACUGCAACCCCCUCCAUAGAAUGAGUUUUCCAUCAUUGGGCAGAUGAAUUGAAAUAAUAACUAAUAAUCAGAACACCAGCCAUGAAUGCUUGUAAGAAACAAUUAUAAGUUUAAAAGAUUAAUUAAAAAAUUAAAAUAUAUAUAUAUCAUAAAAGAAAACAUAAUGAUCAAAACAAAUUGAAGACCACAAUAUUCUCCCUAUCUGAAGAUAAAUGAAACAAGACAUCAAGAUUUGUUUUCUUGGUUAAUAUUCAAAUAUGUUGACAAAACCAACAAAAACUCCAUACCAAAAAAGUAAUUGCAACAUUUAAAGGCAAAUGAUAUGAGAAGGGUGGUCAGAUACAGCUUUCUAGGCUAGCAUUUCCAUCAAUAUUACUCAGAGCCCAGUGCAUAUCAUCAUUCGUUCUAAAAAAUCAACAAAAGAAAGGAUAAAAAUGUCCAUUGAAUAAAACUCUAUUAUUCAAGAAAAAUCUUGCAACUGCAAGAUCCAUAAAAUCGACACCGCAUUUGAUGAAAAUCCUCAGAUCUCAUGCCUUUGAACAAACAAUCUAGGGUUUUGUACUCAAUCGCAUUCAUCAAAACCCUUUUCUAUAUAACACAGUAAUUCAUAAUAAAAACUAACAAACAACGUAGCCAUCCGACAGCUCCGCAGCCACCGUCGCAGGAGUCGUCAGCCCGGAGUGCGAGCAGAGGUAGAUGGGAUCAUGGGAAGAGGUAUAGAAUGACGUACGUAGGGUUUUAUCGCCCAUUUAUAGGCAGAGUUGAAUUCCUAAAAGAACCCUGGAUUUAGUCGUAAAUAUCUAGGUUCACCCGAUCUGGGCUUUUCUUUGGGUUUGGGCUUAUUUGAUAUAUCGAAAGUGAUGGGCCAGGCUAAGCUUUCGUGGGUUGUAUU